This 3278-nucleotide long non-coding RNA is filed under the name Anolis carolinensis (green anole). Its description in RNAcentral is "lncRNA (ENSACAG00000045532.1)". Lineage: Eukaryota; Metazoa; Chordata; Lepidosauria; Squamata; Anolidae. The record is from RNAcentral.
AUGAGUUGGCAGGAAUCUCCGAGGGAAAAUGAACUUCUUCACUUAUGUGAUUUGUUGGGAAAAUCGUUCAGUACUGUUUUGUAUCAACUGGAGACACUGAACAAGAAAAUUGAUCAUCUUUUCAAGGGAAUUUCCCUGAUUGUGAAAAAUCCUUCUCCUAUAGACAUUAUAACAACUGUACCAACCAGUUCCACUAACAUUAAUGAGGAAUUAAGCGCUCUGGAAGGCCAUGGAAGAAUAAGGCUAGAGGAGCAGAAGGUAGUCAAUAGGGAAAACCAAGAAAGACGUGUCUGAAAACCAAGAAGGAAAGGAGUUUAAUUUUUGAAUCAUCUGCCAGAAGAAUUCCUAAACAGCCACAUGAACCAAAGGUAAAUUAUAAUUUGCCUGCAUUUGGUAUUCAAUAAGCUGGUUAAUAUUUCACUACUACAUAUAACAUUGGUAAUAUGUUAUAUAACAAUAGGCAAUAUGUUACUUACUGUAAGAAAGCUCUAAACAUUAUUUUAGGACAAAUUGGGAAAUCUAUAAUUGUCAAGAAAAUGUAGCAAGAUUUGAUUACUUUAUACCAUUCCUUGGCUUCCUAAAUCUUUACACAUAGUAAAAGUGAAAAUCUGUAUGUGUGCAUGUGGCAGAGGUGUCCAUUUACACAGAAAGCCUCCUGCCUCUACAAACAGCUUUAGCCCACAGUACUGAGGAGCCACCAAAGGACAUUGCAUUUUACGGCGAGCCACAUCCUAGGGUUCCUUUCUCUUUCCAUUGGUGUGGAAUUUCCAUGACCCUGCCCACUACCUCUCCCUUAACCCUUUCCUAUUCUUUUCCAUGGCACACAGCAACUGAACAUACUAAAGAGAGAAGUUUGGGGAGAAUUCACCAUUAUUUAGAGGAAGGGACUGGGAUGUAUAGUUCAUCUGCAAUCUGAGAGCACUCUGAACCCCACCAAUGAUGGACUUAGAACUAAUUUGCCACACACACCAAACAUGGCCAACUUUUCUUACUGGCGGGGUUUGGGGGUGAUUGACCUUGACAUCCAAGAGUUGUAGUUCUCCCAUAUUCAACAAACACCAAACCCUUCUGAUGACAGAUAGGGACCAAACUUGGCAUACAAAUUCAACAUGGCCAAUUGGGAAUACUGGUGGACUUUGAGGGUGAUUGACCUUUAACUCUGGGAGUUAUAGUUCACGUGUAUUCUGUGAGCCCUCCAAACCCCACCAAUGACGGAUCUGGACCAAAUGUGGCACACAGACCCAACAUGACCAACUGGGAAUAUUGGCAGGCUUUGCGAGUAAUUGACCUUGGCAUCAGAGAUGUAUAGUUCAUCCAUAUUCAGAGAAUACUGAAUACAGCAGAUAAGGGAUCUCGACUAAACUUCGAACACAGACCCAACAUGGCCAACUGUGAAUACUGGCAGAUGUUUCGGGAAGAUUGCUCUGGAAUCUGGGAGUUGUAGUUCACCCUUAUCUGGAGAGCACUGAACCCAGUUGACUACGGAUCUGGACCAAACUUGGCACACAGACCCAACAUGGCCAACUUUGUAUACUGUUGGGGUUUGGGCGUGAUUGAACUUAGCAUCCGGGAGUUACAGUUCACCCUUAUUCAGAAAACACUGAAAACACUGGAAUGCCAAUUAAGGUGAUUAACUGCAACAUUCACACUGGCUUUCCAACUGACAAAGAGUUCUUCUCUCACCCUGGACUUCCCACAGAUAUAUAUUAACCUUCCUUGCUUAGUUUCUCCAUACCUCACAACCUCUGGGGAUACCUGCCAUAGAUGUGGGCAAAACGUCAGGAGAGAAUACUUCUGGAACAUGGCCACACAGCCUGGAAAACAUACAACAACCCUGUUAUCCUGGCCAUGAAAGCCUUCGACAACACUCCUAUUUUUACUUCCAAUUUACUAAUUGUAGGUUAUUUAAUGGUUUAAUCAGACAGAACCUAUGUUUAUUUGGACAUGAUCUCAAUGUUAUGAAAUCUUCAAAAUUUUCUGAUAAUAUAACCUUUCUAGAGCAAACCUCUAGAAAGGUUAUAUUAUGAAAUAAUGUCAAAGAAAGAAGUAGAACUUGAGCAUCCCAUAGCAGUCCUAGUUUACAUUAAGCUCAUUUUGAAACCUUUAUUAACUUAACAGUUUUCUGUUUAAAAUAUAGCAAUUAUUUUUCCCAAGCAGAGUGAAGCAAAAAAAUCAGAAGAACCUUCUCACCGAAUUUCCAAGAGUCAAGAACAUAUACUUAAAAAUGUAAGUUUUUUUUAAAAAAUUGCAUUUUUUAAAGCUCCGUCAUCAAUGCCAUAAUCAGAAUUGAAUUGAUCAGCAAACACUGCAUUCUGAAAUCUCUUGUUCAUGGAAAUCAACUGUGUUACUUCCAAGUUAUCCAUAGAAAUGUACUUCGAAUAUCUGCUUUUGGAUUUAAAAUAUUUAUUUUAUGUAUUUUAAAUUGCCCUUUCCUCAUGAGUUUAAUGGCAUCUUUCCAUCCCACCUAUCUAUAUAUGAUUUCAAAUUCUGUACUAAACUUCCUAAAUAUGGAUUACACCACACAUUGCAUCAUAAUUUGGAAGCCACUACAAUGACUUGAUGUAUGUUUGAAUUUACAGUCAGCCCUCCACAUUCACUGAGGUUAGGGGCACAGAACCACUGCAAAUGUGGGAAAAACUUGAAUAAAAUAAUGCUACUUUUUCCAGCUAAGGGAACAUAUCUCUAGAAGUCUCUAGGUCUUCUGUGGGAAAGUUGACCAUAGAAUCACACUGAAGGACCUACUACUGCUUAAGUUCUCUAGUCAACUCUGUGGCCAGCAUCCAGUGAAAGUUGACCAUAGAAGAGCUAGAGAGAACAUAUAAUUGAAAUGCACAAAUAAUCAAAUCUACAGAAUUAAAACUAAUGAAUUUGGAAGGUUGAUUGUACGUAGUAGUGAUGCACAUUUAGAAUUUACGAUUAUUCAUACUUACAUUUGUCUACAUUUAGAGAUAAUUUUUAUGUCAUCUUCUUCUUUUUCAAUCACACAGUCGUUUCCGACUCUUCGUGACCUCAUGGACCAGUCCACACCAGAGCUCCCUGUCGGCCAUCGCCGCCCUCAGUUCCUUCAAGGUCAAGCCAGUCACUUCAAGGAUACCAUCCAUCCAUCUCGCACUUGGUCGGCCUCUCUUCUUUUUUUCCUUCCAUUUUCCCCAGCAUCAUUAUCUUUUCCAAGCUUUCCUGUCUCCUCAUGAUGUUUUAUGUCAUAUAUCCAUUAAUUUUUACUGUAGCCAUUACAGUAUUGGGUACCACUUUCAUUUUGAACAUGUAAGCAGUAUUAA